UGUCAGCUGCACAGAAAGUGAAAGCUCCACAGAUUCUCACAGAAAGCUGCACAGACUGAAAGCUGCAGGAGAACCUCACUGAUAGCAACACAGAAUGAAACAUGUACAGAGCCUGAGAUCUUCUAUUUAUCACAGCACUGCAACCAUGUGAGGGUGGAAGUGGUCCCCCAGCAGGCUUCAGUGAUGUCAUGCCUGCUUGGAAACACUUUCUCUUUCUCCUGCUGGGAAAUUGCACUAUGUGAGCCAGAAUAAAGCACAAUACUGCAACAUAACAAAAGAAGAAGAAAAAAGUGGACGGGUCUGAACACUUUCUGAAUGCAAUUGUGAUAUUAAAUCAAUAACAUUGUGCACCAUCGGAUACAAAUAGGCAAGAAUGUACAGUACAAUGACGAUAAAAAUUGAUUCAAAAUCAAGACAUGACACGUCUACUGUGCGAUUUUGGAUCUCUGCCCCAUCAGCAAUACAAGUGCCAUGAGCAUGCAAGUUUUUCUGAAACAAGCCUUCAUAUAAAGC
Molecule: long non-coding RNA, 513 nt
Organism: Hyla sarda
Lineage: Eukaryota; Metazoa; Chordata; Amphibia; Anura; Hylidae
Exons: 3
Source: RefSeq, a predicted model, not a curated record